AUAGUGCUCAGAGCCAUUUGAACCAUUUUUUGAACGAUACAGAGAAGAUUAGCAUGGCCCCUGCGCAAGGAUGACACGCAAAAUCGUGAAGCGUUCCACAUUUUA
Schistocerca nitens (vagrant locust) is the source of this 105-nucleotide small nuclear RNA. The record is from RefSeq and is a predicted model, not a curated record. Lineage: Eukaryota; Metazoa; Arthropoda; Insecta; Orthoptera; Acrididae.